AUGGCCUCAUUUCCUGCUGUCCUUCGAGCGUCCCGGCUGUACCAAUGGAGCCUGAAGUGUUCGGCGCAGUUCCUGGGGUCUCCACAGCUGAGGCAGGUUGGCCAGAUCAUUAGGGUUCCUGCUCGGAUGGCGGCGACGCUGAUCCUGGAGCCCGCGGGCCGCUGCUGCUGGGACGAACCGGUGCGAAUCGCCGUGCGCGGCCUAGCCCCGGAGCAGCCGGUCACGCUGCGCGCGUCCCUGCGCGACGAGAAGGGCGCGCUUUUCCAGGCUCACGCGCGCUACCGCGCCGACGCCCACGGCGAGCUGGACCUGGAGCGCGCGCCUGCGCUGGGGGGCAGCUUCGCGGGGCUUGAGCCGAUGGGGCUGCUCUGGGCCUUGGAGCCGGAGAAACCCUUGGUGCGGCUGGUGAAGCGCGACGUGCGAACGCCCUUGGCCGUGGAGCUGGAGGUGCUGGAUGGCCACGACCCCGACCCCGGGCGGCUGCUGUGCCAGGCGCAGCACGAGCGCUACUUCCUGCCACCGGGGGUGCGGCGCGAGCGGGUGCGCGCGGGCCGGGUGCGAGGCACGCUCUUCCUGCCGCCAGAACCUGGGCCCUUUCCUGGGAUUGUGGACAUGUUCGGAACUGGAGGUGGCCUGCUGGAGUAUCGGGCUAGUCUGCUGGCUGGGAAGGGUUUUGCUGUGAUGGCUCUGGCUUAUUAUAACUAUGAAGACCUCCCCAAGACCAUGGAGACGCUCCAUCUGGAGUACUUUGAAGAAGCCGUGAACUACUUGCUCAGUCGUCCUGAGGUAAAAGGUCCAGGAGUUGGGCUGCUUGGAAUUUCCAAAGGGGGUGAGCUCUGCCUUUCCAUGGCCUCUUUCCUGAAGGGCAUCACGGCUGCUGUGGUCAUCAACGGCUCUGUGGCCAAUGUUGGGGGAACCUUACACUACAAGGGUGAGACCCUGCCCCCUGUGGGCGUCAACAGAAAUCGCAUCAAGAUGACCAAAGAUGGCUAUGCAGACAUUGUGGAUGUCCUUAACAGCCCUUUGGAAGGACCUGACCAGAAGAGCUUCAUUCCUGUGGAAAGGGCAGAGAGCACCUUCCUGUUCCUGGGAAUCCAGGAGUUUUUGAAGAGAGAGUUUGGAGUGCAGAAGAGGCAGCAGAACUAGGAGUUGUCAGGUGGCGUGACCUGCUCCAGUGGCUUGUCUUCAAGUAUUGUUUCAUCUGGUGAAGGAGCCAUUGCCAUCAUUGUGGCUAGAGGUGUCUAGUCCACAUCCAGAUCCAGUCCCUGAAGCUGAAAGAAAUAUAUGACCAGUGGUGAGGACACUUGUCUUAGUCUGUUCAACUGCUGUAACAAGAUGUGUUAGACUGGGUAAUUUAAAAGCAACAGAAAUGUAUUGCUCACAGUUUUGGAGGCUAGGAAAUCCAAGAUCAAGGCACCAGCAGAUCUGGUGUCUGGUGAGGGCCUGUUCCUCAUAGAUGGCACCAUCUUGUGUCUUACCUAGUGGAAGGAGCAAGGCAGCUCUCUUCCACCUGUUUUAUAAGGGCAGCAAUCCCAUUAAUGAGGGUUCCACCCUCAUGACAGUCACUUCCCAAAUGCCUCCUGCUGUGUGUGUGUGUGUCUGUAUCUCAGGGGCUCCAGGCCUCAAUACAAUGGGUAUAACAACAAUCCCAUCUUGUUGGGAGGAAUUAACAAUCAUGCAUCACACCCUGGGCACCAGGCUUCAAUGUGUUAGCUAUUAGAGCUAAUCAUUAUUUAAUGUUUUAAACACCCCCAGGAAGUAGAGAACAUUCCUGUCACAUUCUGCAGAAAAAGAAAUUGAGGCAAGGGGCAAAGCCAUUUGCCAAGGUCAUAGAUCCUACAAGCCAAUGGCAAGGCAGGAUCUGAACCUGGGACUUCAGAUCCUGGGGCUUUAUCUGAUUAAAUAGCAAGAGAGAGUGCUGAGACUUUUUUGGUGGUGGACAGUCCUUGAGGCAAGCCAUUUUUAGAGCAUCUGGGCCACUUGGGGAAUUGAAUCUUUACCAGGGCUUCCCACCUCCUGUUGCCCCUUCUCUGAAAGUGACCCCCUCCCACAGUAGCACCCCAACCACUCAGAACCCCCAGGCCUUCUUCUUUGCACAUGCUGAAGCUAAUAUUGCCUCCACUCCACCCCAACGUCAGGGACCCUGGCCCAAGCCCUUCCCUGGGAGCCCUUCCUCCUCUCAUGAAGCCUCCUUCCCAGCCCCUCAGAACAGCCUCCUUUAUGAGAGUGGCCAAGAUCCCACUGAAACCUUCCCCAUCAACUUUAUAAAAUUAAUCAGGGAAGAAGGGAGGGGGCAAAAUGGAAAUCAGCCCAGCUUGCAGCACACACAGCAUUGGUCAUGAGGUCAGCUGCUCUCUGACCCACUUGCUCAGAGUUGUUUGCUGCCUGUUGCUCCAGAGUCACAUAGACCCUGUCACAAUGUGGUCAUAGCUCCCCUUCACUGCUCUAUAGAUAACAACUGGAACAUUAUAAAUCGUUAACUUUUCCAUUUCAGAUAUUCUUUCAAGUCCUGCAUAGCCAUGAAACUGAGGCAGGAUAGGUAGUUAAGGGAGUGACCGUGUUCUCGGGAUGCAGCGACCAUGGCACGCAUGCAGUCAACACAGUGAGCCUCAGCAUUCGCAUUGUCAUUGCGCUCAUUGAAGCAAAGCUGUCUUCAGUAGGGAAUUUCCCCCAUAGACAGCAUGAGCAUUUUAAUUUUACCUGUCCUCAAACUGACAUUUUGCUCAUUAUAAUAGUAGAAGACAGCCCUACAUGGAGAUGUAAUAUGCUAGUGAGACAUGUGACAUAUGAACAAGCAUGUACAGCUACUAGGCAUGUGCACCCAGAAGACCACCCAAACAUGCUUACUAGCAACACCUCUUCCCACCACCUUAUGAAUAAUCAUGGAAGACUCUCAUAAAGGGAGUCUCCCUACUGCCAGUCUCUGCUGUCUCACCCUUAUGAGCAGCCUGCCUUGAAUCCUCUCUCUCUCACGGUAUACUGUCCAUUCUGCAUGUAACUUUCAAAAUAUUCUUUUUUCUUUGCAAUAAAUUACUCUAUGCUGCACUUC
RNA transcript from Symphalangus syndactylus (siamang), 3049 nucleotides. It is a transcript of the gene named acyl-coenzyme A thioesterase 1, with no coding region annotated. The record is from RefSeq and is a predicted model, not a curated record. NCBI's taxonomy places the organism in Eukaryota, Metazoa, Chordata, Mammalia, Primates, Hylobatidae.